UACACUCCUGCGGGAGGCAGCAGUGGGGAAUUUUGGACAAUGGGCGAAAGCCUGAUCCAGCAAUGCCGCGUGUGUGAAGAAGGCCUUCGGGUUGUAAAGCACUUUUGUCCGGAAAGAAAUCCUUGGCUCUAAUACAGUCGGGGGAUGACGGUACCGGGAGAAUAAGCACCGGCUAACUACGUGCCAGCAGCCGCGGUAAUACGUAGGGUGCGAGCGUUAAUCGGAAUUACUGGGCGUAAAGCGUGCGCAGGCGGUUUGCUAAGACCGAUGUGAAAUCCCCGGGCUCAACCUGGGAACUGCAUUGGUGACUGGCAGGCUAGAGUAUGGCAGAGGGGGGUAGAAUUCCACGUGUAGCAGUGAAAUGCGUAGAGAUGUGGAGGAAUACCGAUGGCGAAGGCAGCCCCCUGGGCCAAUACUGACGCUCAUGCACGAAAGCGUGGGGAGCAAACAGGAUUAGAAACCCGAGUAGUCCC
RNAcentral lists this ribosomal RNA (473 nucleotides) under uncultured organism. RNAcentral describes it as "partial 16S ribosomal RNA". It matches the Rfam family "Bacterial small subunit ribosomal RNA", at positions 332 to 797 of the family's 1533-position model. The record is from RNAcentral.